UGAGAGUCAAAACCAUUGAACUGUCCAGGCAAACAGCAAAAACAUUCUGUUCAAGGAGCGGAGUCCGAUUUAGUUUUGAUGCGUUCAAUUGCCUGGUAAGUGGUAACUACAGAAUAUCUGUGACCUUAAGGAGAGAAGUUUAUACUGAUGUAAUUGAGCUAGUUUAAUUAAUUAAGGGAGAGAAAUUUGAAGCACAACUUUAUUCCAGGUAUUUAUAAAAGUAAAUGGACAGGACAUCUUUGAUUUUGUAAGAGGAAGAACGUUUAAGUUAAUUAAAGGUCGGGGAUAUAUUAAAUCGAUUCAGUUUGUAGUCUGGAUGUUGUUCAUUUGUAUGCUAACAGCAGGACAUCCGGCAUGACUUUAUGAAGGCCAUUUAUACCACAGCACUACGGAACUUUUCCCUAAAACUGUCGCAUGCAACCCGCUUACAACUUGAGUUACAGUGUGAAUCAAGCAUACAACUUACCUACGUUGUCGUUAGUGAGUUGUGUGCUUGAUUUACACAGAACAACUCAAGUUGUAAGCUGGUUGCAUGCGACAGUUUUAGGCAAAAGUUAUGUAGUGUAAAUCUGCCUUAAUGAGAGCGGUCACUUUUAGAGAGUUUAUAAGGAGAAAAAGUUUGAAGAGAGUUCUUGAGCUAUAACUGAAGUGAGUGAAAUUAAAGUGAUCCAAGCAACGUCGCGAUGUUCAUUUUUCUGUUAACAACAGGAUGCCUUUGUGUUGCCGAUUCAAUGCAUAUGCUUCUCUGAAUAUAUGUCUGUUAAAUGUUCAUUAGCAUUACCUUUAAUGCUUUAUUGAUGCUUUUUUACUGCUAUGCGUUUAACAUAUAGGCAGUAUUAGGCUACAUUAAUAGCUUUCCUUAAUUAACGACGUGAAAAAACACGUAUCCGCAUCUUUUAGGAACGCUAUUUUCAGAGGAAUUACUGCAACGGAGAGAUGUUGUUUUUCUCAGCUGCUGAAAGUUGUACAUUCUCUAUCGGUAGAUGCCGCUUUUCAGUCGCGCCGCUACGGAUUGCCGUGGUUUGUGUCUGAACUAUCUCAAACGUAUAGUGGCCCGCCAGUGCGGUGUAGGUAGACGCAAACCUCAGCAGCUAAUUUAUUGUAGAAUACUAUAUCAACACUUAGUUCCACGUUUGAGAAAUCGUUACAUGUAAUUUCCACCCACACACAGAAGCAAGGAAAAUCCGUAGAGCCCAAACUUGGCAAAUUGUACAGUACAUCUCUGAAACAACGUACAUUUGACCAUAAUCGGAUUGAAAACCUAAUUUGAAAUCAGUUUAAUCAAAAUUGCAGUUGCAUGAUUUGAAAAGCCUUCGUUCACACAAGAGCGUGCAAACCUACUCAAGUUUUACACUUUAAAUUAAACAGUUUGCACAAAAUGGAACCGCGGAGUAAUUUGGGUACGGCCCACUGACGUACGAAGAUAAUCUGGGUGGGACCCUAAAAUAACGUUAUCACGAAACGUUACAUGAUAUAAUAUUGAAAAGUUUAGUUAUUGACAGAAUGAAUAAAGUUUAAUGAAACAUGCAUAGGGGAGUAGCCGUGAAUGAGUCGUAUGCAGUGCCUGACUACCAUUGUAUGCAAAGAAUUUUAAGAAUCUCUAAAACAUAUAGACUAUAGUUCUAUAUUUGAUUGAAAACUUGUUUGAUUCAUGUGAGGUUAAGUUUAAAAAGCUCGGCAAGCCAAGUACACAAACAUUGAUCAAGUUAAGGCGUACACCGGUCUUUGUUGAUUUAAAAAUUGACGUUUUAUAGAAAGCGAAAUUUGAAUGUAAAAGAUUCAUACGAUUGUUUCUAUAGUUACGCAAACAUUUACUGAAAACAUUUAAAAACAAAAUGAUGUAUCCAUUUUUUGACGAUGUUUCCUUAAGGACAGAUGUAUGUACAUAGGCUUGACGUUUUCCUUGUAUUUUAAAGCCCUUGAAUCGGUUUUAUUUACAGUGAAGAUUAGUUUAUUUUCUUCAAAAUGCUUCAGCAUAAAAAUCGAUCACCAGACUAUAUUUUUUUUUUGCCUUAAUGAAAUCAUGUCGGUGAACAUGUAACUAUAUAGACUAUAGUCUACACUUUAUUAAAAAAAUAAAUAUUGCCUAAGAUUUCUAUCAAGUCGGCGAAAUCGCCCCAAAUUGCAUGCGUGGGAGUAUUACGAGUCUGCAGUGAUAUUGUUUGGGGGUAUGUCAUGCACUAUUCUAUAAGCAAAGGGCCUGACCAGAGUUGUUAUGAAAUCGCGACCUUUGAAACUUGGGGACAACAAAUCUUUCGAUUUCUCAGGUAUAAUAUUUUGUAGACGUAGUCUUUUAAACAGAAACUAAUAUAAUAAAGUUUAAGCCCAUUGCGUCUAAUUUUGUCCAUGUAAGUUGUUACAGGUCUGCAAACAAGUUGUUACAAAUCUGUUCACAAGCUGUCGACAAGUUGUGUUCGCAACUGCUUGUUCCCAGUUGUUGUAACAAGUUUGGAACAAGCUGUCAACAACUAGUAACAAGCUUGAUGGCAUUAUCAGACUUGUUACAAGGUUGUUCUAACAAGUCUGACACAGUCAUGAUAUAACAAGAAUGUUACAAGGUUGGCAGCACAAGGUUGUAACAAUAUUGUUAUAUCAUGACUGUAUUGGACUUGUUGGAACAACCUUGCAAUGUUGCAUGAUAAUGUUGUCUGAUAUAGUAAUAUGAACAAGGUUGUUACAAGUUAAUUGUAACAGCUUGUUCCAAAUUUGGGACUACUGCAGUGCGAACACCAACCUCGUACCUAGGCUCUGCGAACACAUCUUGUUGACGACUUUUUGGCAGACUUAUUACAUGCAAGAUUUGAGAUUUUUGCGUCGGUGUAGUCUAUCUUCUCAAUGCUUGCUUCUUUGCAUUACAUUUUCAGCAUUCAUAAAUAUAGAAACUAUAAAUACUAUUCGUAUUAAUAUAUGGGCAUGAUUAAAAUGAUAUCUAUUUUAUCCAAGUAAAAUCCGUGGAACAGUGUAUGAGUCCCAAGGAAGACUUCUCGACAGCCACUAUAGGCUAAACAGAAAAAGAUGUACUUCUUGAUGUAAUCCCCUCGUCAUGAGAGUUAGCAGGACCUUGAUUAUUAGUCCUCACAGGCUCGACGUUACUGGCGAAGGGCUAUGAAGGGCCUGUGUAUCUUUCAAGAAAUAGAAAGAAAUCUUCCACGAAGUUUUGAUUGAUUUGUUAUAUUCUGUGUUGUGGAUACUCGCCUGAACAUUGCGCCAGCAAGGCUCUUUAAAAAGUUUUAAUCCGUUAUUAUAACCAGACGCAGUAAAAUUAUGUGUUCAUUUAUAUGACUUGAUAAUAUUUCCUAUGUUUUGUAUCCAAAAUAAAUAAUCUCGUUGUUAGAGAUUAGCGCGCUUGUUAAUUACUUGUAGAUUAUUAAAAACCCAUGAUUAAAUUUUUGCUCAAUAUUUUAGGAAAUAAAUCAGUUUCAUUUACGUCAUGGAAUACGUGUAAAUGACCUUUAACGCGCUGUUAUUUAUAUCUAUUAUGGUUACUGACUGUGAUAUUUGUAAUCAUGUUCUAUGGAAAGCGAUACUGAAAAUAAUAAUGAAACAAGUAUAUACAUGAGGUAGAUUGAAACUAUAUUUAAGCACCCUAUAUUCGGGUCAACCGAAUCAUUUCCACACGAGGGUCGUAUGGGAAAGAAAAAGAGUAAAGGAGUUAUAGUUAUAGCAAAAAAAAAGUAGGGCAGAUUCCACUAUCUUAUCGAAAAGUCGCCCACAUAAAAGUAAACCGUUUGGGGGCGAGAGAGAAUAAAACUAAGUCACGAUUAAAAUCUAGUUACUGCACAGUUUUUAAUAACGUACUUUCGAGCGAAUCUCCUUCGCAAAGAACUGAAUUGUUCUGGGGUUUGAUAAAGUUUAGUAUUAAAGAUACAAGCAUGUGGAAGAUCGAUACUGGUAAUGAAAUGAUAUUGGUAAUAAAGUGACUGAUCCAGACUGCAAAAGUAAAUUUAAAAUUUUACUGAGAGAAAGGAGUAAAUUUUCUCAUAAAUUGUUCUCAAAAUUUUAAUUUUACACUUCAGUUUGGCCGUUAAAUUUCCCUUUCUCGCAUGGUUUUUAACAUGCACUAUUUCAAUCCAUUUAGUUGAAAUGUUCCACAACAACGGUUUUGAUGGUGACCCGAAGAAGAAUGGCAAGAUCACGUCGAGUGAACCAGUAGAAAAAACUGCAGCCAACAGUUUCAGGAAACUACUGAAGAAUUUCGCCUCUGAUACAAGUUUUGGUGGAAUUUCAAAGGCGACUCUCUCCGAUGGACAUAUCCGACGUUUCAUCUGGUUUCUGAUUUCUGCGACUUGUUAUGGCUUUACCAUUUACAUGUGUUAUUUGUUGAUCAAGACGUAUUUGGAAAAACCCAUCAAAACAUCCGUGGAUAUUUCCUACGAAAAGGUUA
Paramuricea clavata is the source of this 4384-nucleotide non-coding RNA. The record is from the annotation of a GenBank genome assembly. NCBI's taxonomy places the organism in Eukaryota, Metazoa, Cnidaria, Anthozoa, Malacalcyonacea, Plexauridae.